UACGUAGGGGGCAAGCGUUGUUCGGAAUUACUGGGCGUAAAGGGCGCGUAGGCGGCUUUGCAAGUGACGGGUGAAAGCCCUCGGCUUAACCGAGGAACUGCCUGUCAGACUGUAAGGCUUGAGACCGGGAGAGGUGAGUGGAAUUCCCAGUGUAGCGGUGAAAUGCGUAGAUAUUGGGAGGAACACCAGUGGCGAAGGCGGCUCACUGGACCGGAACUGACGCUGAGGCGCGAAAGCGUGGGGAGCAAACAGG
This 253-nucleotide ribosomal RNA is filed under the name uncultured bacterium. RNAcentral's name for it is "partial 16S ribosomal RNA". It matches the Rfam family "Bacterial small subunit ribosomal RNA", at positions 524 to 776 of the family's 1533-position model. The record is from RNAcentral.